UCCCUUGUGGCUCAGCUGGUAGAGAAUCCACCUGCAGUGUGGGAGACCCUGGUUCAAUUCCUGGAUCGGGAA
This 72-nucleotide transfer RNA is filed under the name Ovis aries (sheep). It matches the Rfam family "tRNA". Rfam says of the family: Transfer RNA (tRNA) molecules are approximately 80 nucleotides in length. Their secondary structure includes four short double-helical elements and three loops (D, anti-codon, and T loops). Further hydrogen bonds mediate the characteristic L-shaped molecular structure. tRNAs have two regions of fundamental functional importance: the anti-codon, which is responsible for specific mRNA codon recognition, and the 3' end, to which the tRNAs corresponding amino acid is attached (by aminoacyl-tRNA synthetases). tRNAs cope with the degeneracy of the genetic code in two manners: having more than one tRNA (with a specific anti-codon) for a particular amino acid; and 'wobble' base-pairing, i.e. permitting non-standard base-pairing at the 3rd anti-codon position. Lineage: Eukaryota; Metazoa; Chordata; Mammalia; Artiodactyla; Bovidae. The record is from Rfam by way of RNAcentral.